This 262-nucleotide long non-coding RNA is filed under the name Mus spicilegus (steppe mouse). Its description in RNAcentral is "lncRNA (ENSMSIG00000020983.1)". The record is from RNAcentral. Lineage: Eukaryota; Metazoa; Chordata; Mammalia; Rodentia; Muridae.
CCUCCCUUUGUCUCCUGGCCCCGCCCACAUCUCCACUUGCCCUCUUUCCUUCAUCUCCCAGCGUUUUUUUGGGUGUUUGUUUGUUUGUUUGUUUGUUUUGCCUCCGUUGGCCUUGCUCUCUUCAUCCCAGGGGGUGCUCUGAUCUAGCCACUGCACAAGCUUCAUGAUAGAGUGAGCCCACCCUUGCCUUAAGGAGAUAAGGGAGUGACAGAUCCUGGGAAGGAAAAUUGGACAUCAUUCACAAAGCCAGAGGCUAAGGCAG